RNAcentral lists this microRNA precursor (110 nucleotides) under Malus domestica (apple). Its description in RNAcentral is "miR11020 stem-loop (mdm-MIR11020)". Lineage: Eukaryota; Viridiplantae; Streptophyta; Magnoliopsida; Rosales; Rosaceae. The record is from miRBase by way of RNAcentral.
GCAAGAUCUUGGGUGUAACCGUCGUAAUGUCCCCCCCAACUCUCGAUCGUCAGGUGAUGAGAAAGAUAGAGGGAGGGAGAGACAUUACAACGGUUACACGGCCAAAUMUC